GGCGCGAUGGCCGAGGAGUUAGGCAGCGGUCUGCAAAACCGCACACAUCGGUGCAAAUCCGAUUCGCGCCUCCA
RNAcentral lists this transfer RNA (74 nucleotides) under Candidatus Omnitrophota bacterium. RNAcentral's name for it is "Candidatus Omnitrophica bacterium tRNA-Cys". It matches the Rfam family "tRNA". From Rfam's summary of the family: Transfer RNA (tRNA) molecules are approximately 80 nucleotides in length. RNAcentral also lists the same sequence under 1 other name. Lineage: Bacteria; Pseudomonadati; Candidatus Omnitrophota. The record is from RNAcentral.